RNAcentral lists this ribosomal RNA (475 nucleotides) under uncultured organism. Its description in RNAcentral is "partial 16S ribosomal RNA". It matches the Rfam family "Bacterial small subunit ribosomal RNA", at positions 329 to 800 of the family's 1533-position model. The record is from RNAcentral.
ACGUACACUCCUGCGGGAGGCAGCAGUGAGGAAUAUUGGACAAUGGGUGGAAGCCUGAUCCAGCCAUCCCGCGUGCAGGAAGACGGCCCUAUGGGUUGUAAACUGCUUUUAUCUGGGGAUAAACCUACUUACGUGUAAGUAGCUGAAGGUACCAGAAGAAUAAGCACCGGCUAACUCCGUGCCAGCAGCCGCGGUAAUACGGAGGGUGCAAGCGUUAUCCGGAUUUAUUGGGUUUAAAGGGUCCGUAGGCGGACUGAUAAGUCAGUGGUGAAAUCCGACAGCUUAACUGUCGAACUGCCAUUGAUACUGUUAGUCUUGAGUAAGGUUGAAGUGGCUGGAAUAAGUAGUGUAGCGGUGAAAUGCAUAGAUAUUACUUAGAACACCAAUUGCGAAGGCAGGUCACUAAGUCUUAACUGACGCUGAUGGACGAAAGCGUGGGGAGCGAACAGGAUUAGAAACCCGUGUAGUCCCAUGA